GCUAGGAUCCCCAAUAGUUUCAAUGAGCGCAGCAACAUCACUUAUAUUUUCUUCUCUGAAACCCGAUUUAAAGCCUAAAUCCCAUGAUGGAGUUUGCAACCCAUUUCUGUUCACCAUUCUGUGUAUCACUCUUCCUUUCUUGCUCGACUUUCUCCAAAUUUUAGGAUAGAGCUCCUUCAAGGGUUGUGCUGUUUUCCAACUAUCUUCCCAAAAACGAACAUUCUUACCGCUCGGAUACAAUUUGGUUAGUCCCACUUUUCAAAAUUUUUGAUUGCUUAAGAAUAUUUUUCCAUAACCCACACCCUUGGAGUCUGGUUUGUUUGUGGAGCAGUCCAUGCCUCUUCAUCGCCUCCGCACUUCUCUUGGAUGAUUUUGCGCCAUAGACUAGAUUUCUCUCGGAUGAUUUUGCGCCAUUAAAUAUGUCUGUAGGUCUUUUUUAAGGUUUCGUCCAAUUAUUACAUACUAAUAAACUUUCUUGGUUUUCUUGUUCAUAACUGUUAUUCCUGUAUUUGCUUCAUCUUUCAAUACUGUGAGAACAUAUCAAUUCUCAAUGGCUUCAUGUUCAUAUCCUUUUCUACUGUAAGAGGCAGCCAAGAUUUGAUCCCAAGAGAUAAAUCUAUGGCUGUUUUUUGGAUAGCUAAAUCUUUUUUGAUACUGAAACGGUUCUCAUUCUCAAGCGCGGAAGAAAAAGCUCAAACCCUAGCAAAUAAAACCAAAAGUUCUAUCCAUCGUCUCCUUCUUCAUUUUCUAUCUUCACUUAUAUCAUAAUCAUUCAUAUUGGAUUCUCCGAAGUAUGAUUCAUUCCCGUCGUUGCCACUUCCACACCCAACAAUAGAGAGUCGAGACUAUAAAGAGCGCAAAAGAGACGAACAGAAAAUUGCAGGGAGAAAUCGUUUUCUUCUUCUUUCUGUCUUCGAACUAUGUUUCACCGUCGUUCUUAUAUUUUAUAUCCUUUAAGGUUUCCAAAAUUCAAGUUGAUGUUGGUUAUGAAUCACCCGAAAUUCACAAAGCUUUGUCAUUUGGUAAACCUUCGAGCUUUGAAACUGUUAAUGCCAAUUUCAUCAAUGGGGGUUUACUAAUGGGGAUUUGUAUCAACAAGCCCGCGCGAUGUUCAACGAAUGUACCGAGUGGUUGAUAGAAACCCACAAACCCACCUUUCACAAAGACGAUUUGGAGCCGUCAUAUUUAUGUGUUGAAUUAUUGGGGUUUAGCUAUAAAAGCUAAGAAACAGUAUGCUUGGAUUUGGUUUGCUGGAAUUCCUGAAGCUUAGAGGAGUUCAAGAGUGACUGCCUAUGAAGUUGAGUUCAUUGAAGACAGAAAUUGAUCUGGUGUUUACGGUGCUGAGGAUGUUGAACUUGAACCUCUUCGUAGAGCCAAUGAGAAUUUUCCAUAUACUACAAUCAAAAUAAGUCACUAAACUACAAUUAUAGCCAGUAUUAAUUUGUACUCGGACUUCAAAUAAUGUUGCACCUCCCGGUGGUAAGAAAAGGUUCACUCACUAACUCACCCUUUUCUUCUUUGUACAUGAAUUAUACUCAACAUAAAUAAACAAUAUCCAGUAUUAGCAUUAUAAAAAAAACUCAGCUUACCUUAACUUGUAAGGUUGCCACUGUAAUAUGAUCCAAUAUAUUUGUAGUGUGUAUCAACUUUUUCUA
Long non-coding RNA from Papaver somniferum (opium poppy), 1655 nucleotides. RefSeq lists it as uncharacterized. The transcript is spliced from 3 exons. NCBI's taxonomy places the organism in Eukaryota, Viridiplantae, Streptophyta, Magnoliopsida, Ranunculales, Papaveraceae. The record is from RefSeq and is a predicted model, not a curated record.